CUGCAGCUUAUUAAGCCGACCAGUUGUGCUUCGAUGCACUUGUGGUGUGCAAAAGCUGCAGACAGUAACUCUGUGGUUGUGUAUGUGCUCAGCUGGGAGGUGCUGAGCGCUUUAAGGGACCACUGAAACAAAG
Molecule: small nucleolar RNA, 133 nt
Filed under: Gouania willdenowi (blunt-snouted clingfish)
Lineage: Eukaryota; Metazoa; Chordata; Actinopteri; Blenniiformes; Gobiesocidae
Description: Small nucleolar RNA SNORA70 (ENSGWIG00000010293.1)
Rfam family: Small nucleolar RNA SNORA70
About the family: snoRNA U70 seems to be exclusive to mammals and is a member of the H/ACA class of snoRNA which contain H (ANANNA) and ACA box motifs.
Source: Rfam by way of RNAcentral